AUUGAACGCUGGCGGCAUGCCUUACACAUGCAAGACGAACGGCAGCGCGGACUUCGGUCUGGCGGCGAGUGGCGAACGGGUGAGUAAUACAUCGGAACGUACCCUGUUGUGGGGGAUAACUAGUCGAAAGAUUAGCUAAUACCGCAUACGACCUGAGGGUGAAAGUGGGGGACCGGAAACGGCCUCAUGCAGCAGGAGCGGCCGAUGUCUGAUUAGCUAGUUGGUGGGGUAAAGGCCCACCAAGGCGACGAUCAGUAGCUGGUCUGAGAGGACGAUCAGCCACACUGGGACUGAGACACGGCCCAGACUCCUACGGGAGGCAGCAGUGGGGAAUUUUGGACAAUGGGGGCAACCCUGAUCCAGCAAUGCCGCGUGUGUGAAGAAGGCCUUCGGGUUGUAAAGCACUUUUGUCCGGAAAGAAAUCGCGCUGGUUAAUACCUGGCGUGGAUGACGGUACCGGAAGAAUAAGCACCGGCUAACUACGUG
This 486-nucleotide ribosomal RNA is filed under the name uncultured bacterium. Its description in RNAcentral is "partial 16S ribosomal RNA". It matches the Rfam family "Bacterial small subunit ribosomal RNA", at positions 30 to 507 of the family's 1533-position model. The record is from RNAcentral.